UGGGGAAUAUUGGACAAUGGGCGCAAGCCUGAUCCAGCCAUGCCGCGUGAGUGACGAAGGUCUUCGGAUUGUAAAGCUCUUUUUGGCGGGGACGAUAAUGACGGUACCCGCAGAAUAAGCCCCGGCUAACUUCGUGCCAGCAGCCGCGGUAAUACGAAGGGGGCUAGCGUUGUUCGGAAUUACUGGGCGUAAAGCGCACGUAGGCGGAUUGUUAAGUCAGAGGUGAAAUCCCGGAGCUCAACUUCGGAACUGCCUUUGAUACUGGCAAUCUAGAGUCCGGAAGAGGUUAGUGGAAUUCCCAGUGUAGAGGUGAAAUUCGUAGAUAUUGGGAAGAACACCAGUGGCGAAGGCGGCUAACUGGUCCGGUACUGACGCUGAGGUGCGAAAGCGUGGGGAGCAAACAGGAUUAGAUACCCCCGUAGUCCCUGAGCGGGCUGGCAAGGCGCAU
Molecule: ribosomal RNA, 448 nt
Filed under: uncultured bacterium
Lineage: Bacteria
Description: bacterial SSU rRNA
Rfam family: Bacterial small subunit ribosomal RNA
Source: RNAcentral